Long non-coding RNA from Odocoileus virginianus texanus, 2794 nucleotides. RefSeq lists it as uncharacterized. The record is from RefSeq and is a predicted model, not a curated record. NCBI's taxonomy places the organism in Eukaryota, Metazoa, Chordata, Mammalia, Artiodactyla, Cervidae.
CUCCAUAGAUGCAUACUUUUCUAACAAAUGCUAACAGUGAUGUUUUCUUUAAGACCCAUGCAGGCAAAGUUGUAUGCACUAGGGAGCUUCCCAAAGACAGUCAUUUUCACACAAUAGAGCAAAAAAAUGCAUAGAUCAGCCAACUAAUUUAUACUUCAUUAAUGUCACACACCCAGAAAGCAUGAAACUUCAAUGUGAUCUUAGAGAAGUCAAAUAAGCCAAACAGAAGCUACCAAAACAGGCCUGGUGUUUUCAUCUGAAGAAGUUUCUGUUAGGCUGCCUCAGAGAACACGGUGCAUGCUGAAAGGGCAGGCCGGCCUCGCUGCUACAUGUGUGUUCCCCCGGAGAGUGGAGAACUAUAGAGGACAUUCAGCAAAGUGUCUGGGGGCCCAAGUUGAUUAAUGUGUAGCUUUAUUUCACUUCGGGGUGAAGCACCAGAGGGAAAAAAGAUCAUAAGCUCAUUUGACAACUGUAAAGGUCACAAAGGGAGUGAUGCGGGAAACGUGAAGCUGUCAGGGAGGCGGGAACCCUGCCGUCAGAGCUUGAGGCAGAGGCUGCAGGAGUGAGGUGCCAGCUGACCGCCAGCCACGGAGGGUUUGAGACAGAUGAAACCUGAACCUCCUAGGACCCCGAGUUCUAGUGCGGGACUCUCCUAACCCCGUCAGUAAAAUGAAGAGAGUCGUCUGACGCCAGGAGUCCCAGCUCCGAGGGCUUCACUGGGGUCGUCUAAGGGCCUGACGGGAAGUUUUUGCUCGCUGGGGUGUCCGUCUCACAGGCACUCACCUCAAGUCAGCACACUGCCAGCUACAGGAGCAGGUCCCCGGAUGACUGUUCACCAGAGGGCCUCGUGUGAGCCUGAGAACCACAGGGGCCGCAGGCCACCCCCUGUACCCCACCAGGACCUUUGAGCGGCGACGCUUCCUCCUCAGGUCCCCGGAUGACUGUUCACCAGAGGGCGUCGUGUGAACCUGAGAACCACAGGGGCCACAGGCCACCCCUGCCCCAGCGAUGGGAGGGCACGUCCCCGGGGGCUCCCCUCAGGCCUGCAGACCAGGCAAGUGCCCCGGGCACUCCUCGCUGAGAACACGACUGUCAUUAGACUGGGACCAGAGAAAAGGCAGUUAUCUCCUGUUCGUCUGUGCUCACUGGCUCGUGGAGAUCAGCCUGUCACAACCCUCAGGAUCUGUGAGAGCUGGAAGUGGUGGUGUUAGUAACCCCACCAUUCCCUAUUGCAGAACAAGAAUCUGAAAGGAACCACAGCCAUCAGAGGCCUAGGACAGGCGCGCCUGCCAGUUUGCUCUGUUUUCAGACAAGGAAGGACCCUGUUCCUUUAUUUCUCCAAGUCUUCAGGCAAACAGCCUGUUCUUGAAGGUUGUCUGAAGAAGGACAAACAGUCCUAACACAACUGUGACUUUAGGACCUCCCUAGACUGAGAGUCCUGAGGGAAAUGGGAAGAAAGUGGAUAGUUCCCAACCCCUUGUCAGUGACCUGGAGCAUGAGCCUCCCCAGCUGGUAACUGAGCCUUCCAGCGGACGCUGGGCCUUGCACUUCCCUAACGCCCUCCCGUUUGAUUCAGCUAAGGGCUGCGGGGCUGGGAGUCCUAAGAGCUUCUUCCUCCACAGUGGGAAGAGCACAGAAAAGAAUCAUCCCAUAAAACUCACAUGUCAUUAUGAUAGGGACAAAAAGCAGUCAACAUGGGGGAAUUCACACCCUUUUUCCUGCCAACCCACAUGCCCUUGCUUGGAUCUCUCUGUGGAGGUCAGGGUGAUGAGUGAGGGGUUGGAAUAUUUGGGGGGGGUUGUAGAAAAGGGAGCAGGAUUUACACUGAAAGAAUAGAGCAGACAGCGGGAGUGGGUAGAAGAUACUAGAGACGUCCCCGGUGAGACGCUGGCAGCCGCGGUGAGGACCUGGCGGAGGUGGAGGCUGCUGAGGCACCGGAGGCGGUUUCCAGUGUGGACCACACAGCCCUGCAGCUCUCCUUCCUGAGACCUUUUAAACACAUCCAGAUGAUUUCUAAGGCAACCGGAGUCGAAUCUGUGGGAUGUGUAUAAACGGCUCGGCUAUACUUGGGUAACACCAAGCUAUCCAAACAGGAGACAACCCGUGUGAAUCCCUGCAGCCUACUCCAGAACCGCCCGUGUCGUUUGCUUUUUGUUAUAACUGUCAUUUUAAGCCUUUGUUUCCUCUAAACAUAUGACUUGUUGCUGCUAUUUUUGCACUUCCAGAAGUGCGGCUUCAGCUUCCAGCUCACAUCUGUAAUUGUAACAAACCAAACGAAUGGUUCUAGUGGAAAAUACUGCUCUGCUUCACUUUUGGCAUCUGAGACGUACCCCACAGAGUGAGCCUCUGUAUCACACUGAGUGAAGAGACGAACAGUUUCGCACCCAGGAGAUCAAAUUAACUAAUGAGCACGGCUGUUCCCGGCUGCGAGCCUUUCUUGUCAGGUGGUGGAGUGAGGAUUCUCUGGUGACGGAGAGCCGCAGUGAGCAGAGAGCGCUGUCUCCAUCUCUUCACUGUGAGGACACGGAGCCUCACAUCUCAUCUACUACAGGGCAAGCUCUCGUCAGCUUCGACUUCGAGAAAGGUUUCUACUUCUUGAUUGUAAAAGCCCCGGCAAUGAGGCUGAAGAUUUUUAUUUUUCUCCCCCCAAAAAUGCAGAAUGGUACAUUUUUCACAAAGAGAAUCCAGAGAAACUACUAAACAGUAGCGUACAUCCAAGAGUACCUGGAAAGUGUGCAGGGAUCAGCAUGUGAGGAUAAAUCGGGGCCUUUCCAGGAAAGGUUAUUUGAGAUCA